This 585-nucleotide unclassified non-coding RNA is filed under the name Hevea brasiliensis (rubber tree). The record is from RNAcentral. Lineage: Eukaryota; Viridiplantae; Streptophyta; Magnoliopsida; Malpighiales; Euphorbiaceae.
CGAGUUCAAAUUUAAAAUGGGGCAUUUCUGCAGUGAGAGAUGGAAGUUAUGCAUUGAAUUUAAUAAAGCAUAAUUAAUUUGGAUAAUAAUGAUUACGAUGACAAGUGAAUCUAUCUAAGCCACCAAGUAUCACGAUCAUCAGACGCCAUGAAAGAAGAAAACUUGAACACCAAAACUUGAACUCCAAGCUCAGAGAUUGCCCUACGUGGAGCAAGCGAGCCCCUGCAGAGAGGGCAAGUCAUGUGACCAUGAGCUAUCCAUCUAUCCAAGCAAACUUUAUGAAAGAUAUGGCUACAUCUUCUUGAUUCUCUAAUCUCUUCUCCAUGUUCAAUCUUGCUUAGACAAACUGCACAUUCUAUGGCUUCACUACUUGGGUCGCACUUAUAGUAGCACUGCCUUGUGCUUAGCUCUUCAUCACCAAAAUCUUUUGGCUUGGAAAGGUGAUGGUCUUGGAAGAGAGGAUUCGGAAUCAAUAAAUUCAAUGCCCAUUUGAAGUGGGUAGAGAUCAAACUCAAGUAUUUGAACAUGGGCUUGAUUGAAAGUUGCAGAAGAAAGAACACAGUGGGAGUGGGUGCCAAAUUGUUU